This is a ribosomal RNA of 1400 nucleotides. It matches the Rfam family "Bacterial small subunit ribosomal RNA".
AGUCGAGGGGCAGCAUUUCAGUUUGCUUGCAAACUGGAGAUGGCGACCGGCGCACGGGUGAGUAACACGCUAUCCAACCUGCCGAUAACUCGGGGAUAGCCUUUCGAAAGAAAGAUUAAUACCCGAUGGUAUAAUCAGACCGCAUGGUCUUNUUAUUAAAGAAUUUCGGUUAUCGAUGGGGAUGCGUUCCAUUAGGCAGUUGGUGAGGUAACGGCUCACCAAACCUUCGAUGGAUAGGGGUUCUGAGAGGAAGGUCCCCCACAUUGGAACUGAGACACGGUCCAAACUCNUACGGGAGGCAGCAGUGAGGAAUAUUGGUCAAUGGGCGCAGGCCUGAACCAGCCAAGUAGCGUGAAGGAUGACUGCCCUAUGGGUUGUAAACUUCUUUUAUAUGGGAAUAAAGUUUUCCACGUGUGGAAUUUUGUAUGUACCAUAUGAAUAAGGAUCGGCUAACUCCGUGCCAGCAGCCGCGGUAAUACGGAGGAUCCGAGCGUUAUCCGGAUUUUAUUGGGUUUAAAGGGAGCGUAGGUGGACAGUUAAGUCAGUUGUGAAAGUUUGCGGCUCAACCGUAAAAUUGCAGUUGAUACUGGCUGUCUUGAGUACAGUAGAGGUGGGCGGAAUUCGUGGUGUAGCGGUGAAAUGCUUAGAUAUCACGAAGAACUCCGAUUGCGAAGGCAGCUCACUGGACUGCAACUGACACUGAUGCUCGAAAGUGUGGGUAUCAAACAGGAUUAGAUACCCUGGUAGUCCACACAGUAAACGAUGAAUACUCGCUGUUUGCGAUAUACAGUAAGCGGCCAAGCGAAAGCAUUAAGUAUUCCACCUGGGGAGUACGCCGGCAACGGUGAAACUCAAAGGAAUUGACGGGGGCCCGCACAAGCGGAGGAACAUGUGGUUUAAUUCGAUGAUACGCGAGGAACCUUACCCGGGCUUAAAUUGCAUUUUGAAUAUUUUGGAAACAGGNUAGCCGNAAGGCAAAUGUGAAGGUGCUGCAUGGUUGUCGUCAGCUCGUGCCGUGAGGUGUCGGCUUAAGUGCCAUAACGAGCGCAACCCUUAUCUUUAGUUACUAACAGGUCAUGCUGAGGACUCUAGAGAGACUGCCGUCGUAAGAUGUGAGGAAGGUGGGGAUGACGUCAAAUCAGCACGGCCCUUACGUCCGGGGCUACACACGUGUUACAAUGGGGGGUACAGAAGGCAGCUACCUGGUGACAGGAUGCUAAUCCCAAAAGCCUCUCUCAGUUCGGAUCGAAGUCUGCAACCCGACUUCGUGAAGCUGGAUUCGCUAGUAAUCGCGCAUCAGCCAUGGCGCGGUGAAUACGUUCCCGGGCCUUGUACACACCGCCCGUCAAGCCAUGAAAGCCGGGGGUACCUGAAGUACGUAACCGCAAGGAGCUCCUAGG